RNAcentral lists this ribosomal RNA (585 nucleotides) under uncultured bacterium. RNAcentral describes it as "partial 16S ribosomal RNA". It matches the Rfam family "Bacterial small subunit ribosomal RNA", at positions 355 to 937 of the family's 1533-position model. The record is from RNAcentral.
UGGGGAAUUUUGGACAAUGGGCGAAAGCCUGAUCCAGCAAUGCCGCGUGUGUGAAGAAGGCCUUCGGGUUGUAAAGCACUUUUGUCCGGAAAGAAAUCCUCUGGGUUAAUACCUCGGGGGGAUGACGGUACCGGAAGAAUAAGCACCGGCUAACUACGUGCCAGCAGCCGCGGUAAUACGUAGGGUGCAAGCGUUAAUCGGAAUUACUGGGCGUAAAGCGUGCGCAGGCGGUUUUGUAAGACGGACGUGAAAUCCCCGGGCUUAACCUGGGAACUGCAUUCGUGACUGCAAGGCUAGAGUAUGGCAGAGGGGGGUAGAAUUCCACGUGUAGCAGUGAAAUGCGUAGAGAUGUGGAGGAAUACCGAUGGCGAAGGCAGCCCCCUGGGCCAAUACUGACGCUCAUGCACGAAAGCGUGGGGAGCAAACAGGAUUAGAUACCCUGGUAGUCCACGCCCUAAAACGAUGUCAACUAGUUGUUGGGGAUUCAUUUCCUUAGUAACGUAGCUAACGCGUGAAGUUGACCGCCUGGGGAGUACGGUCGCAAGAUUAAAACUCAAAGGAAUUGACGGGGUCAUAGCUGUUUCC